RNAcentral lists this ribosomal RNA (301 nucleotides) under uncultured bacterium. Its description in RNAcentral is "partial 16S ribosomal RNA". It matches the Rfam family "Bacterial small subunit ribosomal RNA", at positions 509 to 809 of the family's 1533-position model. The record is from RNAcentral.
CAGUAGCCGCGGGAAUACGAAGGGGGCUAGCGUUGUUCGGAUUUACUGGGCGUAAAGGGCGCGUAGGCGGACUGAUAAGUCAGGGGUGAAAUCCCAAGGCUCAACCUUGGAACUGCCUUUGAUACUGUUUGUCUUGAGCUCGAGAGAGGUAAGUGGAACUGCGAGUGUAGAGGUGAAAUUCGUAGAUAUUCGCAAGAACACCAGUGGCGAAGGCGGCUUACUGGCUCGAAACUGACGCUGAGGCGCGAAAGCGUGGGGAGCAAACAGGAUUAGAUACCCGCGUAGUCCCUGUCUCUUAUAU